AGUGAACGCUGGCGGUAGGCCUAACACAUGCAAGUCGAACGGCAGCACAGUAAGAGCUUGCUCUUACGGGUGGCGAGUGGCGGACGGGUGAGGAAUACAUCGGAAUCUACUUUUUCGUGGGGGAUAACGUAGGGAAACUUACGCUAAUACCGCAUACGACCUACGGGUGAAAGCAGGGGAUCUUCGGACCUUGCGCGAUUGAAUGAGCCGAUGUCGGAUUAGCUAGUUGGCGGGGUAAAGGCCCACCAAGGCGACGAUCCGUAGCUGGUCUGAGAGGAUGAACAGCCACACUGGAACUGAGACACGGUCCAGACUCCUACGGGAGGCAGCAGUGGGGAAGAUUGGACAAUGGGCGCAAGCCUGAUCCAGCCAUACCGCGUGGGUGAAGAAGGCCUUCGGGUUGUAAAGCCCUUUUGUUGGGAAAGAAAAGCAGCAGGUUAAUACCCCGCUGUUCUGACGGUACCCAAAGAAUAAGCACCGGCUAACUUCGUG
This 492-nucleotide ribosomal RNA is filed under the name uncultured bacterium. RNAcentral's name for it is "partial 16S ribosomal RNA". It matches the Rfam family "Bacterial small subunit ribosomal RNA", at positions 29 to 507 of the family's 1533-position model. The record is from RNAcentral.